AUGAACGCUAGCGACAGGCUUAACACAUGCAAGUCGAGGGGUAACAGGGUAGCAAUACCGCUGACGACCGGCGCACGGGUGAGUAACGCGUAUGCAACCUGCCUAUAACUGGGGAAUAGCUCCCUGAAAGGGGGAAUUAACACCGCAUAAUACUAUUGAUUCGCAUGGAUUAGUAGUUAAAUGUAGCGAUACAGGUUAUAGAUGGGCAUGCGUGACAUUAGCUAGUUGGUGAGGUAACGGCUCACCAAGGCUACGAUGUCUAGGGGUUCUGAGAGGAAGGUCCCCCACACUGGUACUGAGACACGGACCAGACUCCUACGGGAGGCAGCAGUGAGGAAUAUUGGUCAAUGGGCGCAAGCCUGAACCAGCCAUGUCGCGUGCAGGAAGACUGCCCUAUGGGUUGUAAACUGCUUUUAUAGUAGAAGAAACACAUCUACGUGUAGAUGUCUGCCAGUAUACUAUGAAUAAGCAUCGGCUAACUCCGUGCCAGCAGCGGC
RNAcentral lists this ribosomal RNA (497 nucleotides) under uncultured bacterium. RNAcentral's name for it is "bacterial SSU rRNA". It matches the Rfam family "Bacterial small subunit ribosomal RNA", at positions 29 to 518 of the family's 1533-position model. The record is from RNAcentral.